GUUAGGAAUAUUGGACAAUGGGCGCAAGCCUGAUCCAGCCAUGCCGCGUGAGUGAUGAAGGCCUUCGGGUUGUAAAGCUCUUUAGCCGAUGAUUAUAAUGACUGUAGUCGGAAAAUAAGCCCCGGCUAACUUCGUGCCAGCAGCCGCGGUAAUACGAAGGGGCGAGCGUUAUUCGGAAUCACUGGGCGUAAAGCGUGCGUAGGCGGCUUUGCAAGUUGGGAGUGAAAGCCCAGGGCUCAACCCUGGAAUUGCUCUCAAAACUGCAAGGCUCGAAUUCGGGAGAGGAUAGCGGAAUUGUCAGUGUAGCAGUGAAAUGCGUAGAUAUUGACAGGAACACCAGUGGCGUAAGCGGCUAUCUGGACCGAUAUUGACGCUGAGGCACGAAAGCGUGGGGAUCAAACAGGAUUAGAUACCCGGGUAGUCC
This 424-nucleotide ribosomal RNA is filed under the name uncultured bacterium. RNAcentral describes it as "bacterial SSU rRNA". It matches the Rfam family "Bacterial small subunit ribosomal RNA", at positions 354 to 796 of the family's 1533-position model. The record is from RNAcentral.